AUGACGAAGUCUACGGAGCAUUACGCGUGAGUGAUAAGGUUCCGGAUCGUAAAACUCUGUUGUUAGGGAAGAACAAGUGCCAUAGUAACUGAUGGCACCUUAGACGGUACCUAACCAGAAAGCCACGGCUAACUACGUGCCAGCAGCCGCGGUAAUACGUAGGUGGCAAGCGUUGUCCGGAAUUAUUGGGCGUACAGCGCUCGCAGGCGGCUCUUUAAGUCUGAUGUGAAAUCUUACGGCUCAACCGUAAACGUGCAUUGGAAACCUGGGGAACUUGAGUGCAGACCAGGACAGUGGAAUUCCCACCGUGUACCGGUGAAAUGCGUACACAUGUGGCAGGAACACCCACGUGGCGAAACGCGACUCUCUGGUCUGUAACUUGACGCUGAGGAGCGAAAGCGUGGGUGAGCGAACAGGAUUACAU
Molecule: ribosomal RNA, 424 nt
Filed under: uncultured bacterium
Lineage: Bacteria
Description: bacterial SSU rRNA
Rfam family: Bacterial small subunit ribosomal RNA
Source: RNAcentral